AGGGAGUAUUGGUACCGGGCAGAGGCUGCGGUCCCACCUCCAAUGCCUCGGGGGUGGCUGCAGCCGCCGGUCCGGGCACAGCGGCCACACGGUGUCACCCGCGUCCCACCGCCGGGCUCCGACAGGGCAGAGCAGCGAUGCUCUCCGGUGAGCGCUCCGGAACAAGGAAGCGCUGCCGGCCUGGAAUCGCAACCCCUUUUUCACGGCGUUUUUGAGAGCUAGGAUGCUGCCAAGUUUUUCCACCUGUUCUUUCCUUCCCCAUCCAUGAGAAAGUCUCCCAGGAGAGGAAUUACCACGGUCCAGUGCAGCCACAAGCAGGUUAAAAAGAAGGAUCCCAGUCCUGCUGCUGAUGGGUCUCCAGACAGCUUGGGUGUAACUUUCCACUUGGAUGUUCACAGUGUUUGGGAUACAGGCCAAAUAAAUCUCCAGCGUAAUCCCAAUUGUCAGGAGGCAUGUGGUCUCCUGAGGCACCAGACGUGUGUGAGAACAUGGAGAUGAGAGCUUUGAUGUGCCUUUGAGAGAACACUGGAAGAAACAGAGCAGAUACGGGAACUUCUCCAAUGGGAUGAACAGCUCUGAGAAGCAGCCUGGAGGAUACAUACAUGAUGGACCAUGCACUCCUGAGCCUGGCACAGCCUUCGGGGAGGGAGAUGCUCUGGCAAUGGGGAUGCAGCCUCUGACACCACCUAAAACAUGGUGUGUCAGCUGCUUCGUAACACAGCUCUUCUUGUCCUCUAUGCAGAUCUGCUUUCCUGCAAAGAGAACAAAGACAUCGUUUGUCCAGAGAAAGGUUUCUUCCAUCAAGCUCAGACACAUCCUGAAAGAAGUGCAUGAAGACUUGCAUGAGUUGGUGAUUGUGGAGACACUAAAAAGGUGAUGCUCACCAUGUCCUCUCCUGUUGGAAGCAGUAGCCUCAAAAUCCGCCCCCUCACCACCAUCCAAAGCCUCAAGCUAAGUAAGAGCAAUGCCAGGGCAGAUGGCUGCACAGCAGGGCUCUCAGCGUCACUGCUCACUCUUCCCCUACAUGCCCUGUCCUGCUCAGCAGUUUUCCCAUGAACUUAUCUGAGCGGCACUCUUUGCUUUGUGCUAUGAAAAUCAAAGAUGAGGUGUCCUGAAUGAAAAGCUCACAGUUACCACGAGGUCUGCCUCUCAAUGCGCUGGGAAUAGAAAUGUGGCAAUCAGACUUUGGGAUGAAAUCAUAUUGGACAUGCUGGCUUAAUCUCUAAAGUAUGAAAUUGUAAGGAAGGAAUUACAGCUAAAAAACAUUUCACAUUUUAGAAAGCUUCUCUGACCCAUGCUGGAUCAGGAGAGAGAAGGAAAAGAGGGUAAAAAAAAAAAAAAACCAACAACCCCAAACCUGUGGAAUUCAAAUGACUGUAGCCAUUUGGGUUAGAAAAAAUCCAUCAUCAAAUAAACAGACUCCUGCACUUGUACUGUGAUGCACGACUGUGUUUGUAAAGGAAAAGGCUGACUUUGGCUUAUUUCAAUUCUCAGGAUCAGGUUAUUUGCUAUUUGCAAAUACUUGGGUGUUAGCUUCAUGUAUCUUAGCCCAGUUCAUCUCACAAUCGUGUUUAUGUUAGAUAUGGUACAGUACUGAGCUAGCUGCUCUUCCAGUACACCUUUAUUUAGCUGGGCCAUCAGAGAGAAGAAACAAUAGCCCAUAGAUAGCCAGCUGCAGAAGAUGAAUUAUAAGCAGAAAAAUAAUCAUCAAGCAAUUUGUGGGUUCCUUGCUGGAAGACAUUUGCAAUUCAAUGAAUAUUAUCUAAUGUACAUCCAAAACCAGAGACUCUCGCUCUUCUAUUCCAUGAGUUGCAAAAAACAGCAACAACAACAAAAAACAACCAAACACCCAAAUUUUAGAAAACUGUAUUAUUCACGUCAUCAUAAAGAGAAAGGAGGACUGGGACAACAGUGGCGAUGAGUACUGCCACACUCGAUGGCACACCUUGAGUUCCGUCAUUAACACAAUAGAAUGGCAGCUCACUGUAGCAAUGUUUGAACUGCAUCUCAACUAGAUGGCA
Gallus gallus (chicken) is the source of this 2021-nucleotide long non-coding RNA. Lineage: Eukaryota; Metazoa; Chordata; Aves; Galliformes; Phasianidae. The record is from Ensembl.